GAGAGAAUGGAAAGCGGCGGACGGGUGAGUAACGCGUAGGCAACCUGCCCUGUACAGAGGGAUAGCCUCGGGAAACCGGGAUUAAGACCUCAUGAUGCGAUCAGUUCACAUGGACAGAUCGUCAAAGAUUUAUCGGUAUGGGAUGGGCCUGCGCCUGAUUAGUUAGUUGGUGAGGUAACGGCUCACCAAGGCAGCGAUCAGUAGCCGACCUGAGAGGGUUAUCGGCCACAUUGGAACUGAGACACGGUCCAAACUCCUACGGGAGGCAGCAGUGGGGAAUCUUGCACAAUGGGCGAAAGCCUGAUGCAGCAACGCCGCGUGAGCGAUGAAGGCCUUUGGGUCGUAAAGCUCUGUCCUUGGGGAAGAAAGAAAUGACGGUACCCUUGGAGGAAGCCCCGGCUAACUACGUGCCAGCAGCCGCGGUAAUACGUAGGGGGCAAGCGUUAUCCGGAAUUAUUGGGCGUAAAGAGUGCGUAGGUGGUUUUGUAAGCGUGGGGUAAAAGGCUAUGGCUCAACCAUAGUAAGCCUUGCGAACUGCAGGACUUGAGUGCAGGAGAGGA
Molecule: ribosomal RNA, 560 nt
Filed under: uncultured bacterium
Lineage: Bacteria
Description: bacterial SSU rRNA
Rfam family: Bacterial small subunit ribosomal RNA
Source: RNAcentral